Molecule: long non-coding RNA, 753 nt
Filed under: Setaria italica (foxtail millet)
Lineage: Eukaryota; Viridiplantae; Streptophyta; Magnoliopsida; Poales; Poaceae
Description: long non-coding RNA (SITA_LNC000156)
Source: RNAcentral
UGUAGAAUGUGUAGAUCAUACCACCACCAAGGAUGAGGAUAUCAACCUUUGCCAGCAGAGACUCAAUGACCCCAAUCUUGGUCGAGACCUUGGAUCCACCAACAAUGGCAGCAAAUGGCUUCUUUGGGUUGGCAACAGCUCCAACAAGAUAAUCAAGUUCCUGGGAUAAUUAAAUUAUUAGUCAAACAAACUUUUGCUCUGAAAAACUUGUUCCAAUCUUAAAAGUACAUAAGGAUUGCUUUCGAAGAAGAAAUAAACAUAUUUAAAAUGCAAGGAUCCAAGUAAUUCAUUGCAUUUUCCUCAGAAGCUAUAUGUAAAUAUCUAUGUUACUAGACCAGGAUUUUGAAACUGCAGGGAGCAUACAUUGUACAUACAUUUUAACACUUCCUACUUUACAUAAGCAGGACCUUAUUAUGGAGAUAAACAAUUUUUUUCUCUUACACACGGGAGAUGGGGGGGGGGGGGGGGGGGUUCAACAAACAUAGGCAGAUCAUGAGCAGCAGGGCUGAGAUUUUAUUACCUUCUGCAUGAGGAAGCCAGCAACAGCAGGCUUCAAAAACUUAGUAACUCCUUCUGUUGAAGCAUGAGCUCUGUGUGCCGUGCCAAAAGCGUCAUUUACAUAAAGGUCAGCAGCAGAUGCAAGCUUCUUAGCAAACUCAGGGUCAUUCUUUUCUUCCUCCUUGUAGAAUCUAACAUUCUCAAGGAGCAGAACUCCACCUUCCGGCAAAGCAGCAGCCAAUUUCUCAACUUCCU